Molecule: long non-coding RNA, 546 nt
Filed under: Fukomys damarensis (Damara mole-rat)
Lineage: Eukaryota; Metazoa; Chordata; Mammalia; Rodentia; Bathyergidae
Description: lncRNA (ENSFDAG00000022624.1)
Source: RNAcentral
AUGAGGUCACAGAAGCAGCAGGACCUCCUGGAGACGGCGUCCACAGUUGCUCCGGGAGUGACCAGUAAGGGCAGAGCCCAGUGUUCUGCACACCCCUGCCCCACCCAGCCAUGUACGAGAACACUGACCAGGUCACAGAGAAAAUGCCAUCAGCACGUGGCACUAGGGGCUCUGUCUCUCUGUGCGGAACAAAACCAUCGGAGCAGGACAAGAGAGCCAGCAUGGAUCUCCCAGUCCAUAUUGCUUCUUCGGACCCAAUUCUGGUGUUUAUCUUUGAACUACAGUGCAAGCAGGCAAAAGAACAAACAUCUCACUGAACACAGCAGCUUCUCAGGCUGGGGGAGGAAGGCUGCUCCUCAUUUCCCUGUGUGGAUUAGGUACCCACCGAAAGAGAGAACACCAAUUACACUUUUAUGAAGCAUGAAAACAUGGAGUUCUGGAAAUGUGUUUUAUCUUCAAGUAUUUAGUGUUAAAGCACUCAACAAUAUUAUCAAAAUCAUUUUCUUGUCCCUGGAAAUUGUGCUUUUAUUUCCACGCAUCUAGAAG